RNAcentral lists this ribosomal RNA (253 nucleotides) under uncultured bacterium. RNAcentral's name for it is "partial 16S ribosomal RNA". It matches the Rfam family "Bacterial small subunit ribosomal RNA", at positions 524 to 776 of the family's 1533-position model. The record is from RNAcentral.
UACGUAGGUGGCAAGCGUUGUCCGGAUUUACUGGGUGUAAAGGGCGUGCAGGCGGUUUGUUAAGUGCAGGGUGAAAGCUCCCGGCUCAACUGGGAGAGGUCCUUGCAUACUGGCAAACUCGAGGGAGGCAGAGGAAAGUGGAAUUCCCGGUGUAGCGGUGAAAUGCGCAGAUAUCGGGAGGAACACCUAUGGCGAAGGCAGCUCGCUGGGACGUUACUGACGCUGAGACGCGAAAGCGUGGGGAGCAAACAGG